UGGGGAAUAUUGGACAAUGGGGGGAACCCUGAUCCAGCCAUGCCGCGUGUGUGAAGAAGGCCUUUUGGUUGUAAAGCACUUUAAGCGAGGAGGAGGCUACCUAGAUUAAUACUUUAGGAUAGUGGACGUUACUCGCAGAAUAAGCACCGGCUAACUCUGUGCCAGCAGCCGCGGUAAUACAGAGGGUGCGAGCGUUAAUCGGAUUUACUGGGCGUAAAGCGUGCGUAGGCGGCCAAUUAAGUCAAAUGUGAAAUCCCCGAGCUUAACUUGGGAAUUGCAUUCGAUACUGGUUGGCUAGAGUAUGGGAGAGGAUGGUAGAAUUCCAGGUGUAGCGGUGAAAUGCGUAGAGAUCUGGAGGAAUACCGAUGGCGAAGGCAGCCAUCUGGCCUAAUACUGACGCUGAGGUACGAAAGCAUGGGGAGCAAACAGG
Molecule: ribosomal RNA, 430 nt
Filed under: uncultured bacterium
Lineage: Bacteria
Also listed under: 1 other name
Description: partial 16S ribosomal RNA
Rfam family: Bacterial small subunit ribosomal RNA
Source: RNAcentral